AGCCAGUAGAUAGACAUCGGCGUAAGUGUGGUUAGGGCAUUACUAACUAAAGCCGAAUAUCUCCAAGGCUGUUAUACGCACCCGGAGGAACGAAGACCCUUAGCGAAAGUAGCUUUAUUGUUUAGCCUGAACCCACGACAGCUAUAAAACAAACUGGGAUUAGAUACCCCACUAUGCUUAGCCGUAAAAUUUGACAGUAGGAUACAACUGCUGUCCGCCAGGGGACUACAAGCGCCAGCUUAAAACCCAAAGGACUUGGCGGUGCCUCAGACCCACCUAGAGGAGCCUGUUCUAGAACCGAUAAUCCCCGUUAAACCUCACCUCCUCUUGUUAUCCCCGCCUAUAUACCGCCGUCGUCAGCAUACCCUGUGAAGGAAAUAUAGUAUGCAAAAUGGGUAAACCCCAAAACGUCAGGUCGAGGUGUAGCGUAUGGAGAGGGAAGAAAUGGGCUACAUUCUCUAGUUUAGAGUACUACGGAG
Molecule: ribosomal RNA, 479 nt
Filed under: Galaxias divergens (dwarf galaxias)
Lineage: Eukaryota; Metazoa; Chordata; Actinopteri; Galaxiiformes; Galaxiidae
Description: partial small subunit ribosomal RNA
Rfam family: Bacterial small subunit ribosomal RNA
Source: RNAcentral